This 385-nucleotide ribosomal RNA is filed under the name uncultured soil bacterium. RNAcentral describes it as "bacterial SSU rRNA". It matches the Rfam family "Bacterial small subunit ribosomal RNA", at positions 26 to 402 of the family's 1533-position model. The record is from RNAcentral.
AGAGUGAACGCUGGCGGUAGGCCUAACACAUGCAAGUCGAACGGCAGCACGGUAAGAGCUUGCUCUUAUGGGUGGCGAGUGGCGGACGGGUGAGGAAUACAUCGGAAUCUACCUUUUGGUGGGGGAUAACGUAGGGAAACUUACGCUAAUACCGCAUACGCCCUUCGGGGGAAAGCCGGGGACCAGCAAUGGCCUGGCGCUGAUAGAUGAGCCGAUGUCGGAUUAGCUAGUUGGUGAGGUAAUGGCUCACCAAGGCGACGAUCCGUAGCUGGUCUGAGAGGAUGAUCAGCCACACUGGAACUGAGACACGGUCCAGACUCCUACGGGAGGCAGCAGUGGGGAAUAUUGGACAAGUGGGCGCAAGCCUGAUCCAGCCAUACCGCGU